UACAGAGGGUGCGAGCGUUAAUCGGAAUUACUGGGCGUAAAGCGUGCGUAGACGGUUAUCUAAGUCAGAUGUGAAAGCCCCGGGCUCAACCUGGGAAUUGCAUUUGAGACUGAAUAGCUAGGGUGCGGUAGAGGCAGGUGGAAUUCCCGGUGUAGCGGUGGAAUGCGUAGAGAUCGGGAAGAACAUCAGUGGCGAAGGCGGCCUGCUGGGCUGUUGCUGACGCUGAGGCGCGACAGCGUGGGGAGCAAACAGG
RNAcentral lists this ribosomal RNA (253 nucleotides) under uncultured bacterium. RNAcentral describes it as "partial 16S ribosomal RNA". It matches the Rfam family "Bacterial small subunit ribosomal RNA", at positions 524 to 776 of the family's 1533-position model. The record is from RNAcentral.